Molecule: long non-coding RNA, 386 nt
Organism: Micropterus dolomieu (smallmouth bass)
Lineage: Eukaryota; Metazoa; Chordata; Actinopteri; Centrarchiformes; Centrarchidae
Exons: 2
Source: RefSeq, a predicted model, not a curated record
CUUGGGCGUGACCUCCAGUCUGCAGUCAUUUAACCUGCCACACACUAGGCUCAGUGCGUUUUCUGCUUGUUGUGAUAUGCUGAAUGUCUUCUUCCUUGGUGUGCGGGUAUGCUGAGGCUGCUGCUGGUAUCCCAGAAAGUGUGGCAUACGGCUGGGUCGCAGUCUGGAGAGUUGCAUGGUGCAGAGCCACAGCCACUUAGUGGAGUUAACAGAGGCCCCAAGCAGUGAGGAGGCCACAACUGACCAACGGCAGCAGACCAGUACUUGACAUGUUGUUUGGCUUAAAUGACACUGAGACUUUUAGCUUUCUUAGCUUCAGCCUUGUUUUAACUCUUUUGUCUAUUUCCUUAAAUGCAUUAAUAAACUUGGAGGCUAUAUUUUGCACA